GGGUCAGUAGGCUGGUCGUGCCACCCGUACGUACUGGUCUCACUGAUUCCUCCUUCCUGAAGAACCGUAAUGCCAUUAAUUUGGUGUUGCGGGGAAACAGGACUGUUACUUUGAAAAAAUUAGAGUGUUUAAAGCAAGCUAACGCUUGAAUACAUUAGCAUGGAAUAAUGAAAUAGGACGAUCGAUCCUAUUUUGUUGGCUUCUAGGAUUGACGCA
This 216-nucleotide ribosomal RNA is filed under the name Glomeromycotina sp. Its description in RNAcentral is "partial small subunit ribosomal RNA". The stretch from base 44 to 216 matches the Rfam family "Eukaryotic small subunit ribosomal RNA", at positions 690 to 864 of the family's 1831-position model. The record is from RNAcentral. Lineage: Eukaryota; Fungi; Glomeromycota.